RNAcentral lists this long non-coding RNA (1301 nucleotides) under Cyanistes caeruleus (blue tit). RNAcentral's name for it is "lncRNA (ENSCCEG00000008603.1)". Lineage: Eukaryota; Metazoa; Chordata; Aves; Passeriformes; Paridae. The record is from RNAcentral.
AUCCUCAUCAAAACUACUGGGAAGGUGCAAGGAAGAGCUUUGCAACCUCUGUUUUAUAAGCCUAUAAGACAAAAUAUUCUAGUUUUGCAUUCAGCAACCUUCAACUCCCUGUUUUUUCCCCCUACAACCUCUCACAAACACCAGCCAAAAUAAAUUAAAUGCCACACAGACUGAAACAGAAUUAAAAUAUAAUGCUGGUAAUUUUGGAGUUUAGGGCUUGGAUCUUUCCACCAUUUUUACAUGCUUUCUAUGCUAAUGCAGCAUAGAAAGGAAAAGCAGCUUGUUAGCUUUUACUCUCUCUCCCAGCUCAAUUGCCAAGGCUACCCAACACACUUGUACUCUUAUUUGCUCUCCUUUCUCCCAUAUCUCAAGCUGUGAAAUUAAUAUGCACAGAGGACAUAAACCUCUAGCUCAGGAAUAAAAAGUGACCUUAAUAUGCUCCUGCUUAAUCCUUCUCAGGCUCAGCGUAACCAUCGCUCUGGGAAGACAACCCAGCAUGAAACCAAGGUACAAGAAAAUACCACACGGAGCCCUAAAAUGUGCACAGUCAGAUGAUGCCAUGGGUGGCAGCAAGGCUCCCUGCUCUACGAGAACAACUCAAACAACAGCAUUUCCUGCACCCCAGUCUGGAGAGAAGCACAAACUUUUCUCUAAAGGCACAAACAAGUACUCCCUCCUCAGAAACAGCACCAAAUUUUGAUAACAAAUCACCACCACCACCUCUCUCUGGAGGUUAAAGCCUACAGACAUUGAACCAGUUACACAAUUCUGAUGGAUUUUCAGGAAAAGGAGAAUUAAUAUUCAAACACACGGAGUGGCAACAGAGAGACAAAAAGCCUUGCCCAUGCGAGAACCCAUGCCAGAGGAACAAGUGCUUUCACUAACUGCAAAGUGAUGACUGUAUUUCUACGGAUUCCUCAGCUGCUGCUUUGAACUCUUUUAUUGAAGUGUUUUGACAGCACACCAGAUAAAAAAGGAAAAAAAAAAAAGAGUAAUCUGAAGCACAUGUGAAAAUGCACACAUGAAGAUAUACAAAUCAAACUAUUUUCUACUGCCACUGUUAAAGCAUUAAAUGUCAUCAAAACAGUAAACUCCAGAGCAACUCAUUUUUGUGCAUGUUAGCAGUUCUUAAAUUUAAUACGUGCAUGGGUGUAACACACACAUUCCCCUCACAAUCUUUUCAACAGUUGUCACAGCCCUGGAGCAAAUCAAAAGCAGAGCCCAAAGGCACUGCACUUAUUCAGGAGCUUGUUUCUAACACUGAGGUGAAGACUAAACCACACCAGUCUCAUAAAAGGAAG